This 253-nucleotide ribosomal RNA is filed under the name uncultured bacterium. RNAcentral describes it as "partial 16S ribosomal RNA". It matches the Rfam family "Bacterial small subunit ribosomal RNA", at positions 524 to 776 of the family's 1533-position model. The record is from RNAcentral.
UACGUAGGUGGCAAGCGUUGUCCGGAAUUACUGGGCGUAAAGAGCGCGCAGGCGGCUGGUCAAGUCCGAUGUGAAAGCUCCCGGCUUAACUGGGAAAUUGCAUCGGAAACUGAUCGGCUUGAAGGUGGGAGAGGGUAGUGGAAUUCCCGGUGUAGUGGCGAAAUGCGCAGAUAUCAGGAAGAACACCCGUGGCUAAGGCGGCUCUCUAGUACGUGACUGACGCUGAGACGCGAAAGCGUGGGGAGCGAACAGG